Molecule: transfer RNA, 73 nt
Filed under: Canis lupus familiaris (dog)
Lineage: Eukaryota; Metazoa; Chordata; Mammalia; Carnivora; Canidae
Also listed under: 2 other names
Description: tRNA-Gly (CCC) (tRNA-Gly-CCC-4-1)
Rfam family: tRNA
About the family: Transfer RNA (tRNA) molecules are approximately 80 nucleotides in length. Their secondary structure includes four short double-helical elements and three loops (D, anti-codon, and T loops).
Source: Rfam by way of RNAcentral
ACCUGGUUGGCUCAGUUGGUGGAGUAUGGGACUCCCCAUCUCAGGGUUGUGAGUUCGAGCCCCACACUGGGUA